UACGUAGGGGGCUAGCGUUGUCCGGAUUUAUUGGGCGUAAAGAGCGUGUAGGCGGCCAGGUAGGUCUGCUGUGAAAACUCGAGGCUCAACCUCGAGACGUCGGCGGAAACCAUCUGGCUAGAGUCCGGAAGAGGAGAGUGGAAUUCCAGGUGUAGCGGUGAAAUGCGUAGAUAUCUGGAGGAACACCGGUGGCGAAGGCGGCAUCCUGGACCGGUAUUGACGCUGAGGCGCGAAAGCCAGGGGAGCAAACGGG
RNAcentral lists this ribosomal RNA (253 nucleotides) under uncultured bacterium. RNAcentral describes it as "partial 16S ribosomal RNA". It matches the Rfam family "Bacterial small subunit ribosomal RNA", at positions 524 to 776 of the family's 1533-position model. The record is from RNAcentral.